AUAAACAUCUCAAUCUCAACAUGUUCAAAACUUGAGCUCCAAUGCCCCCAAAUGUUAGUGCCCCAUCUCAGUUGAUGGCAACUCAUUCUUUUGGGUUCUUAGCUCAGAAACCUUAGAGCCAUCAUUCACUUUGCUCUGUCUUCUGUACUCCUCAUCCAAUAGUCUGUGAUGCCACCUUGAAAAUAUAUGCAGACGCUGACCACUUUCCAAUUCUGGUGUCACCACUCUGGUCCAUGCCAUUACCUUCUCUCAACUAGAUUAUUGUAAUGGUCUCUUAACCAUAUACCUUUUCCUAUCUUUGCCAACCCUACAGUUCAUUUCAACAGAGUAGCCUGUUUUUCUUCUAGAUAUGUGAGAUCAUGUUGCUCCUCUGCUCAAAACACUUCAAUGUCCUCACUCAGUUGAAUUAAAUUUUGAAAAUGGCCUAUGUGACCUACAUGAUCCCUCAUUACCUCUGCCUCAUCCCCGACUUCUCUCUCCCUCACCUACAGCACUGCAGCCACAUUAUCCAACUUGCACUUGGGACACGCCAACACAUGCCUGCCUCAGGCUUUGUCCUUUCUUUUUUUUUUUUUUUUUAAUAUUUUAUUUAUUUAUUUGACAGAGACACAGUGAGAGAGGGAACACAAGCAGGGGGAGUGGGAGAGGGAGAAGCAGACUUCCCACGGAGCAGGGAGCCCAAUGCGGGGCUCGAUCCCAGGACCCUGUGAUCUUGACCUGAGCCGAAGGCAGACGCUUAACGACUGAGCCACCCAGGCGCCCGGGGCUUUGUCCUUUCUACGGCUUCUGCUUGGAUGACCCUUCCCUCAGACAUCUGCCUGGCUCCCAGCAUCAUCCCCUCAGGUCUUUGCUCAAAUGUCUUUUUCUUGGUGAGGAGUUUCGUGACUAUGAUAUUUUAAAGAGGAGAUCACACCUGUACAGCUUAGCGUGCUCAUACUUUUCCCAGUCUUAGAUUUCUCCAUCAUACUCUUCACUAGCUUAUAUGCUGCAGAAGCUCUAUGAAGGCAGGGAAAAGAAACUAAUGUUUUGUUUGCUACUGUCUCCCCUCUGCUUAGCUUGGUGCCUAAUACAGGAUACACACUCGUUACAUGACUACACGAGCUGGGUAUCAUGAGUAGCUGUAUUGUAGCCGCAUCUGCGAGUAGAGAAAACAGGUCACACAGCUAAUCUGCUGCAGAGCUGGCUCUGUCCUGCUCCUUACCACUGUACACAUACUACUCUUUGGCAGUGAAGAGCAGGUAUGACCUGGAAUUUGGCAGAGCUAAGUUCAAAUGCAAGUUUUCCCGCUUACUUUUGAUGUGACUUAAAGCAAAUUACUGAACCCUAAACUUUAAUUUUCUUAGCUUAAAAAUGAGAUUUGCAAUAAGAUCUGCCUCUUGGGGUUGCUGUGAAGAUUAAAUACCCUAGAUCUUAUCUCUCAAUUAGGAAUCAUAUUCAGCACAUGUGAUGUAAAGCCCAUUAGCAAUGGUUUGAAGAAAGAGUUUAUUUUCCUCAUAUAACAAGGGGUUUAGUGGUAAGCUGUUCAGAAUCGGUAUGUGCUUGAGCAAUCAAAACUUAUUAUGGAUACAAAGUCUUAUAUUACAGUAAAACAUAAAACAAAUAAAAAUACAGGUCUCAUAUACUAAAAUGGCAAAUAAUAAUAAUUAAUAAUAACAAUAGUUUCAGUUAAUGUGAAAAGGGAAUAAAUUUUGAUUUUCUUUUUUUUAAAGAUUGAUUUAUUUAUUUUAGAGAGAGGGAGAACAGUGGGGAGGGGGCAGAGGGAGAGAAUCUCAAGCAGACUCCCACUGAGCACGACACAAGGCUCCAUCUCAUGAUGCAGGGCUCUAUCUCAGGACCCAGGGCUCAAUCUCAAGACCCAUGAGAUCAUGACCUAAGCCAAAAUCACGAGUUGGACACUUAACUGACCAAGCCACCCAGGCGCCUCUGAUUUUCUUCUUAAUUUGACUCUCUUUCUUAACCUAUUAAGAUUUCAAGAGCUUGAGUUUUAAUUUUGUUAUCCAUCAUACUCUCGCUGCUACCAAGGUUGGUGUCACCAGUGAGCAUGUUAACUCUCCUCCAAGUUCUUCAUUUGAGUUAUUGAUAGAAAUCACUGGGGCGCCUGGGUGGCUCAGUUGGUUAAGCAACUGCCUUCGGCUCAGGUCAUGAUCCUGGAGUCCCGGGAUCGAGUCCCGCAUCGGGAUCCCUGCUCGGCAGGGAGUCUGCUUCUCCCUCUGACCCUCCCCCCUCUCAUGUGCUCUCUCUCUCUCAAAUAAAUAAAUAAAAUCUUAAAAAAAAAGAAAAAGAAAUCGUUAAGCAGGACACAACAGAAUAGAGCCCUGUGGCAGGCUACUAAAGACCACUCUUUGACAUUAGUGCUUUCAUGGUGCAGUCGUUCUACUAAUCAAAAUGUUGUAAAAUUAUCAUUCAUAUUUUCCAUUCUUUCUAAAUUGUCAUUAGAGAUCUUGUCCACUUGCAUUGAUGAGACUCUGACACAGAAUUUUCCUGGCCAAGCUCCUGAUACUGAGCUUAAUGUCCUUCUCCCUUCUCAAUCUUUUUCUUUCUGGUUUCCUCUAGCCCUUUCACUUAUGCUUUGAACCAAGAAAUGAGCUUACAUUUAUCACAGAUGUAAUUAGUUAUUGCUUUCACAAGGAAUGUAGCUCAAACCCUGCAUGUCACUGAAAAUGUGCUCUUUGCUUCCACACCUCUUCUUGGUUGCAGUGCGAACUGCUGCCUCCGGAAACUACCUCCACUGCCCCACUCAUGGGGCAAGCUCUUGAAAAGAGCCAGUCCAAAGCCUCUCCCUCCCCUGAAUGGUUUGACAUAUUCCCAGGUAGCUCUCAGAUGACGUUGCCUAAAUCAGUGACACACACCUUCUUUCAAGUUCCAGUGUCAUGUCACCAACUGCCUACUGAAUCCCUCUACCAGGAUGUCCCUCCCAGAGGAUAAUUAGGGUUAUCAGGUUCCAAUCCACUAAACUCCCCACUCUCUCCUUCACCACCAGCCCAAUCCCCUUGCCCCUAUCUACGAAACCACCAAUUCUUCAAUGUCGUACAAUUCAGUCCAGAAGUAUACAAAUGUUUCUUGGGUAUUGAUGUUCUAGGAGCUGUUCUAAGCAUCUGUAGGGGCCAAAGGUAGGCUGCCCCAAAAUGUGCCACUUUGGCAUAUCAACUAUUUUAAAUAGAAGUUACUUAAGAAAUGGCCAAAUGUUAAAAAGAACACUCUGACUGCCUCUCUCCUCUUUGUCUCCAGAAAGCAAGAGCUAAAUCUCCCAUUUGAAAGGAAUUCUCCCUGGACCAGGAGGUAAAGAGACAGAAAAUUUAGAGCAGAAAAGGCUGUGUAAACAACCCUUGUUACUUUUUAAUAAUUUACUACCAUAACCCAAAUUCCGUUUAGAAUUCCUAAUUGAAGCUCCCAAAGUUACUUAACUUCUUUGUCCUGUCAGAUCCUCACAGAUUUAUUAUCUCUUCGUCUAAAAAAUAUAAAAAUUGCCUGCCUUGGUCAUUUCUUGAGGUCUCAAUUUUUUUAUGGGGCCUCUGUGUGCACAUAAUAAAACUUUGGGUUUUUUCUCUUGUUAAUCUGUCCCGUGUCAAUCUAAUUCUUAAACCGGCAGAGCUUAAAGAGUAGAAGGAAACAUUUUUUCUCCCCUACACAUCCCAUAUACAAACCUCAAGGCACUUGGUCUAGGGAGAUUAACAAAUGGAAAAUGACUUAUUUCUACAAAAUGAUGUAGGCAAUAGCUUAAAUAAAUUAAAGAAAAAUAGGUAUUCAUGUGAGCAGAAGAGGAAUAUCUGAAGUAUUGUCACUUCAGAUGUAUGUGAUCCGUGUGACUCUAUAUAGGGGGCCAAUCAGACUCAGCACACAGAGAAAACACAGAGGAAACCUCUCCAGGAGGCCCAAAUCACCACACCUGUGCUUGAAUAACUUCAUAAAACAAAGGGAUGUAUGAUGGGGGCAUCAAUGUGGAUGGAAAGAGAAGCUAAUAAAACAAACAGUCACAGCCUUUUGACCAACUUAAUGAGCAGAUUCAACAUAUUGCUGGGUACCGAGAGGCUGAAAAUUGUGAAAAGUAUAUUGCUUUCUCACAGAUGGCUUCAGGACUCACCCAGACCACUAGGAAGCUUCUUGAAAUAUCACCUGCAGCUCAUACUCAGUGGAGAAUUUGGUUAACAUCAUGUCAUAAAUGCAUUAGGUAUGCAAAUAUCCCCAGCUUAGUUCUGUAGAGACAGUCGUCGUAUAUGUAUGGAUAUUAAUUGUGCCCGGUCCUGGACCCUGUGCUCUGGGGAGACAAUCGGGAGUUUGUAAUCUUCUUUUAAAAAUGACCCAUUCAUUCACACAAGCCCGCAAGCAAUUAUGCAAUCUACUCUACUAUGAUGUAUUUGCAUAUAUGCAAGGAAUAAAGUAGUGAAACGACCAAGAGAGAAAUAAAGUGCCAAGUGUUAAGUACAAUGCAAUUCUUAGUGGGCUAUAGGCUUGAAGAGCAGAUCUGCAACCUUCACAUGAUGAGGCCUAUUAAAGUGCUUUUGGACCGUGCAGAACCCCUGAAAUGCUGUCGCAGCAAUACCAACAAUAGCACCUGUCCCUUAAUCCUGCGUCCCUGAGAGUGCCGCCUCACUUUUCUAACUCCUAAAUUCAUGUUUUGUAUUUCUAAGCUCUCUUUGGUAUCGCAGAUCUGGUAUAAGUUAAGCGGACAAAUGAGGAUGUAAGAAAUGGGGAAGUUAGGAAAGGAAAGCAAAUGAUAAGUGAAGCUCAGAAAGAGUGGGACUGAGUUGAUUCGAUCAGAAAGCGGUGGUGGUUUAAGAAGCUGGAUGUGGGGCCGCAACUUCCCCACACCCUUCUGUAGCUGCCCACCCACAAAGCUGUGGUUUCUGACCAAGAGGAGAUAGUUGAUGGCUAAGAAGUGUCCCAGAGAGAUGACUUUUGGAAUUUUCUUGGACUGUACCUCACUCACAGCUGCCCUUCCCAAGUACCCAUCAGGCUCGGACUCGACCAGGAGACAUUCAUUGGCAGUGCGCUGGGCUACUGGCCUCAGGCACAGACUGAAAUUUGGGGCAAAUAAAGCAAAUGGAGGCAGGAAGAGUCAUCGAUCAUCUCCAGGCCGAGAAACUCUCUUAAAACAAACUAAAUUAUAUUAUUUGCAAUGCUCAGCAUGUGUUAAAAUGCUCCGGGCUUUUUUAAUUCACGUGCUCAGAACUGUCAGGAGAGCGCCUUCAUUAAACUAGUAAUUGACAGAUUGGUUUUGUUGAUCCCCAAGACCUUGCUUAUUUCCUAAACAGUAGGGGGUCUAAAAUGAGGAAUUGUCUGAAAAGAACGAAAAUAAAAUAGGGAUAGAGGGUUUGGAUUGGCCCCAGUUGCCGGACUCUUGUGAAGAAGCACAAUAUUCCCUCGGAAAAGAAAUGGCAAGGGUGUAUUUUCCUCUGGAGCCUCAUCAGUGAUGAUAAAUGAAGCCAAAUUAAUCCUCUGUUGGUCUCAUUUGCUUCCCUCUUUGGAGCUGUAUUCCCCUGCAUGAUUGUUUGUAACUGAAGACAAUCUCUUAAUUGUUCUUUUAAAUAAACCUCCCAAAGCUUCCAGUUUGGUUCAGGGGGUGGGAAUUCCAUGAUACUGAGGCUGCCAUUCAGGGCCAUCCUUAUGGAAAUAAAUUGCAUAACUGAAGUGUCUCAUAUCCUGCUCCACUGGAUUUUUCUUCAGGGAUCUAUCUCCAAAUCACCAGCAUAUUUUUAGAAAUUCAAACAAAAACACUUGAGUGUCACAAUAUCCUGCUAAUUAGCCAUUGUUUGUAAUGUAGCCCCUCUCUGUUUUUCCCAUAUUCAUCUUCCUUCUCCCCAGAGUUGCCCAUCAUCCAUUUAUUACUUGUGCUAUAUCUCUAAAGUUUAUGCUUAAAAUUUUGAAACAUUUCAUAACAAAGACCACCAGCAACUUCAUUAACCAGUGAAAUAUUAAGUAAGUCAUUUUAUUCUAUCUCAUAUAGACUUCCUUUAGCAGGGUUUUUAUUUGUUUGUUUGUUUUUGAGAAUUUUGAACUUCCAGUCACUCUAUAUUCAGCAGUCUGACUUUAGGUUUGCACAAACCUCACCCAGAAAGGCCACUUGUGGAAACAUAGCACUGAACUCCAUUGUUGCCUUGUCCCACCAGUGUCCCAAUGCAUUUUAAACCUAUCCUUUCCUCCUUAGAAAAAUGCUCCUGAGAAUUCACAGACACCCAUCGUCCUAUCUUAUCUCAGGAAUGAAGUGCCAGCAGUACUGAGGUGGAUGUGGGGAAGUGAAAACAUAAUCAGGGGGAGGCAGAGUACGGGGACCACCCUCAGUGCUUUAAAAGGGCAACCCUCAGAGUCAUGGCUAGAGCUCGUGUGCAAUGAGUAUCGCCCAGAUCUGAGCAGGAGAAGAGUCUUGGAGCAGUCCAGAAGCAAAAUCCAAGAGCCAAGUUAUCAUGAAGGUGAAGAUAAUAGCAUCAGAAUCUCCUGGAAAACUAUUUUAUUUUAUUUUUAAUUUUUUAAUUUUUAUUUUUAAAGAUUUUAUUUAUUUGACACAGAGAGAGAGAUAGCCAGAGAGGGAACACAAGCAGGGGGAGUGCAAGAGGGAAAAGCAGGCUUCCUGCUGAGCAGGACCCUGGGAUGGGGGGCUCGAUCCCAGGACCCUGGGAUCAUGACCUGAGCCGAAGGCAGACGCUUAACGACUGAGCCACCCAGGCGCCCCUGGAAAACUAUUUUAAAUAAUUGGACUCCCUUUUGAAGAACCAAGUCCUCUCUUAUACACAUAUGCCAGGGACGUCUUCAUCCUAUUGUUGAUGUUUGAUCCAUUGCAGUAGGGCAUCUGGCACUCACGGAGAGGGUGGUGAUGGUGAGGUUGGAGGAAAGCCAGAUCCAGGAAGGGCUUCAGUGGCCAUGUUCCGUAGCUUCCUCUUCUUCCUAAGAGCAAUGGGAAGCCACCAAAAGGUAGAGUCGGCAUGAAUUUCUGGUCACAAACUGAGUUGUGAGGAAAGACGUUACUUCUACAGUGUUCAGCAUUCUACCUUAAUUUCUAUUUUAAGCUCAUUCCACCAGAUGGCACAUAAUGAAUUACUAUCAAUUCUCUAGAAAUUCUAUCAAUUCGGGGUUCUUUAAUCAAUGUAAGAGUUCAUCAUUUCCCAUCCCCAGAGUUGCGUGUUCCUUUUACGGGUGCUCUGUUGUCAACCACUUCUAGGGAAAUGAAUGCUGCUCCAUCUUUCUUCAUGGUUGACGCCCCCAUGCCAUUCUCACUGGUGCAUCCAGUAUAGAGGCAUUAGGUUAUGAAUAUCCUAAAUGGCCCCAAACAGCAAGACCAACGGUAGAAUGCAGGAUAUGAAAACCUUAUUCUGCCACAAAUCGUUUUUAAACGUGGAUGGGAAUAUGAUCAUAAAAUAGAUCGUUCUGUGGAUGCUCUGUAGGUAAAGGGUUGAAGAGAUACAGCAAUGGAUGCAGAGAGCCCUUAGGAUAUUAUAAAUAAUUUCAGGAUUGCGAUAGAUGUAGCUUGGGCGAGGGUGGUUGAGGAGAGAUGGAAGUAAGAAUAUGGGCUCAUAGGAUAUAUAUAGGAUAAGAAUGACAGAAUUUGGUAAAAAGGUUGGAUAUUGGACUGAAGGAAAGGUAACCCCUUGGGUUUCUGACUUGAGCAACUGGAUGUGUGUGGGUGCUGUUGGCUGGGUGAGAGAACAGUAAAGGAAGAUCUGGGAAAAUAGCCCCAGGUGAUUUUGAUAUGUUGACUUUGAGAGGCCUUUCAGACAUUCAAGCGAAUGUUAGCAGGACCAAUGUAAUGGAUGGAGACUAAAAGGAGAAGUCUGAGCUAGAAAUAUAAAUGAGACCUCUGCGUAUGGAUCCUUUCCAUAAAGAUGGGUAUAGAUGAGAGUGUUAAGAAGGAGAGUCUACAAUAGGAAAAUAAUGCAGACAUGAGUCCCAUCUUUUAUUUACAUUGGUACAAGUUUCUUAUUGGCUGAUUCAAAGAAGAGUGAGUGAGUACCCAUGGCACACCAAAUGUCUUCCUCUGUAUUAAACAGUCAGUGGUCCAUCACAGAACGUAGAAAUAUCAACACCUCCAACUUCAGAGUAAGCCUUCUGCUCACCAAGGUUCUUCAUCUCUGUGCUAAUGAGAGUUUUGUUCUCUUUCGUUUGCUAUUUUGAGAUAUUUAAUCUCCAGGCUAUUAACAGUGAGCAUCAAGCUCCCUUUCUUGUGCAGUGACAACGUCUGCAGCCUGCUGUGGUUCUUCAUGAUUCCAAAGUGAUAUCCCCACUAUAAAAAGAAGAUGAGUGUCAUUGAGGCGAUGCCAAGGACCCGGGGAUAAAAAACAUGGUCAGUGAAACCCAAAGCCAAAGAAGGAUGUGUAAAGGGGACCCAAAGCCAAGCGUCAUGGCAAAGGAUGUAUCUUUGGGUACAUCUCAGUACUUCAUUAUUCCAAAUGUUUACAUCCAAACAGAGCAGAGACACCUAUCAAGUACCUGAGGAAAGAGGCCACAGCCAGAACUGCAUCGGACAGCAACAAAUCCUUGCCCUUGGACGUCCGUCCCCCAGGAUGAUCUGUGCAGGAUGUAAAGCCAGAACAACUUUCAUAAACUUAAACUUGUUCAUCUCAAAUUCUGUCUCUACCACCCAAAUAUAUUACAGUUCCUCUCCAUCUGUAAAGGACAGGAGGUUGUUCUUAUCUAAAGUAAAAAGGAAUAAGACUACUGUAGAUGGAAGUUUCAGAUACUCGGAAGUAAGGAGCAGAUAGCUUCAAUCAAUAGUGAAUAGCUCUGGGUGAACUUGGAUCUGGUAUAAAGGAUACAACACAAAACAGUUCCAUCUGAAGAUAAUAAGUCUUCAGUCAAAAAGAGGCAGUAACUGUGAUGCAUGUCAUUCAUGAUUUCUUUUUUAUUCCUUUUUUAUGUACAGCUCAAAUAUUUGAGACUUGGGAAGUAGAGGUUCUGCUAGAUCUAAUAUUUUGAUCUUCCUUUGAAUUUAGUUUAAAAAAAUGGAAAGCUCCCAGUUGUUAUAUAGCUCCCUGGAUUUUGUAAUUUAAGUGAAAAACACUGAAAAUGAGGACUUCUUAAAUCUAGACUGCAGUCAUAUCUAUUUAAUUGCACUUUUUCUUGUGCUUCUCUAAGCUAGACUAUUACACUUAGCAAAAAGCUUAGUAGCAUAAUUACAGUGCUAUAAAACAUUUUCUCCCUUUUUUUAAACUAGCAUCUUCAUCUGCCACAUUUCAAGAUGCAUCACUAAAUUAUACAACCUGACAACUAUUAAGGUUUUUGCUAUACUUCACAAAUCAAGAAAAAAAUAUGCUUCAUUUUCAGGAUUCCUUAAGAAAUAAUGUCAAGUAUUCCUUAAAUAUGCAUUCCAAAAUGUGGAAAUCUUAAGUGAGCAUCACCCAACUUGUCGGCAAACACUGAGGAAGAAACUUGUAAUGAGCAAAAUAAAAUCUUUUAAGCCUGGAAAUUUACUAGAAAGCAAGACAAAUGGUUGAAAUUGUUUCUCAGAACAGCAACAGUACUUGAGAGCAAUAAAAAAUGUGAUAAUAUUUAAUGGCCUUUGUUAAUACAUGAUAAAGUCCCUAAAUUGUAAUUUACAAUCAAAACAGUUGGUGGCACCUUUG
Molecule: long non-coding RNA, 9551 nt
Organism: Mirounga angustirostris (Northern elephant seal)
Lineage: Eukaryota; Metazoa; Chordata; Mammalia; Carnivora; Phocidae
Exons: 4
Source: RefSeq, a predicted model, not a curated record